CCCUUAGAUGUUCUGGGCCGCACGCGCGCUACACUGACGAAGUCAGCGAGCAUGUCCUACGCCGACAGGUGCGGGAAAUCUUGUCAAACUUCGUCGUGAUGGGGAUUGAUUAUUGAAAUUCUUGAUCAUCAACGAGGAAUUCCUAGUAAGCGCAAGUCAGCAGCUUGCGUUGAUUACGUCCCUGCCCUUUGUACACACCGCCCGUCGCUACUACCGAUUGAAUGGUUUAGUGAGAUCUUCGGAUUGGCGCCACUGCGGCUCAGCAAUGGGCUCGGUGGAUGCCGAAAAGUUGAUCAAACUUGAUCAUUUAGAGGAAGUAAAAGUCGUAACA
This 331-nucleotide ribosomal RNA is filed under the name uncultured eukaryote. RNAcentral describes it as "partial 18S ribosomal RNA". It matches the Rfam family "Eukaryotic small subunit ribosomal RNA", at positions 1470 to 1796 of the family's 1831-position model. The record is from RNAcentral.